UGGGCAGUAUCUUAGGAACUGCACCGUUAAAUGUAUGAGAAAAUUCCAUAAAAAAGUCUGCCUUGAUCAUUAGUGACAGGGACAGAGGA
Jeotgalibacillus campisalis is the source of this 89-nucleotide regulatory RNA element. It matches the Rfam family "pan motif". NCBI's taxonomy places the organism in Bacteria, Bacillati, Bacillota, Bacilli, Caryophanales, Caryophanaceae. The record is from Rfam.